This 468-nucleotide ribosomal RNA is filed under the name uncultured bacterium. Its description in RNAcentral is "partial 16S ribosomal RNA". It matches the Rfam family "Bacterial small subunit ribosomal RNA", at positions 28 to 507 of the family's 1533-position model. The record is from RNAcentral.
GACGAACGCUGGCGGCGUGCUUAACACAUGCAAGUCGAACGGAGAGGGCCGGCCUUUGUGGGGUGCUCGAGUGGCGAACGGGUGAGUAACACGUGAGUAACCUGCCCGUGAGUGGGGGAUAACUUCUGGAAACUGGGGCUAAUACCGCAUAGGAGCACCUGCUGCAUGGUGUGGGCUGGAAAGUUUCGGCGGUUGGGCAUGGACACGCGGCUUAUCAGCUUGUUGGUGGGGUAGUGGCUUACCCAGGCUUUGACGGGGAGCCGGCCUGGGAGGGUGACCGGCCCCAUUCGCCCUGAGGUGCCAGCCGGACUGCUUCGGCGGGCAGCAGCGGAGGUUUUUGCGAGCUGGGCGGCGGCCGUGUGGAGCAAUGCCGCGUCCUGGAUCACGGUCUUCGGGUUGUAACCCGCUUUCGAGUGUAAAGAAGAGUCAGUGACGGUAAUGGGUCAGGAAGCACCGGCUAACUACGUG